GGGGCGUUAGCUAAGCUGGUUAGAGCCCCAAACUCAUAAUUUGGUCGUCGUCGGUUCGAGUCCGUCACGCCCCA
RNAcentral lists this transfer RNA (74 nucleotides) under Actinobacteria bacterium BACL2 MAG-120920-bin34. Its description in RNAcentral is "tRNA-Met". It matches the Rfam family "tRNA". Rfam says of the family: Transfer RNA (tRNA) molecules are approximately 80 nucleotides in length. Their secondary structure includes four short double-helical elements and three loops (D, anti-codon, and T loops). Lineage: Bacteria; Bacillati; Actinomycetota; Actinomycetes. The record is from RNAcentral.